CCUUAUACUGGAGCAUAGCCUUGGGAAACUAAGAUUAACUCUCCAUAACAUAGUGAAGCGGCAUCGCUUUACUAUUAAAUCUCCGGAGGUAUAAGAUGAGUGUGCGUCUGAUUAGCUAGUUGGUGAGGUAACGGCUCACCAAGGCAACGAUCAGUAGCUGGUCUGAGAGGAUGAUCAGCCACACGGGCACUGAGACACGGGCCCG
RNAcentral lists this ribosomal RNA (205 nucleotides) under uncultured bacterium. RNAcentral's name for it is "partial 16S ribosomal RNA". It matches the Rfam family "Bacterial small subunit ribosomal RNA", at positions 129 to 334 of the family's 1533-position model. The record is from RNAcentral.